RNAcentral lists this ribosomal RNA (467 nucleotides) under uncultured bacterium. RNAcentral's name for it is "partial 16S ribosomal RNA". It matches the Rfam family "Bacterial small subunit ribosomal RNA", at positions 29 to 507 of the family's 1533-position model. The record is from RNAcentral.
ACGCACGCUGGCGGCGUGCUUCACACCUGCAAGUCGAACGGAAAGGCCCUGCUUUUGUGGGGUGCUCGAGUGGCGAACGGGUGAGUAACACGUGAGUAACCUGCCCUUGACUUUGGGAUAACUUCAGGAAACUGGGGCUAAUACCGGAUAGGAGCUCCUGAUGCAUGGUGGGGGUUGGAAAGUUUCGGCGGUUGGGGAUGGACUCGCGGCUUAUCAGCUUGUUGGUGGGGUAGUGGCUUACCAAGGCUUUGACGGGUAGCCGGCCUGAGAGGGUGACCGGCCACAUUGGGACUGAGAUGCGGCCCAGACUCCUACGGGAGGCAGCAGUGGGGAAUAUUGCACAAUGGGCGGAAGCCUGAUGCAGCAACGCCGCGUGCGGGAUGACGGCCUUCGGGUUGUAAACCGCUUUCGCCUGUGACGAAGCGUGAGUGACGGUAAUGGGUAAAGAAGCACCGGCUAACUACGUG